This 495-nucleotide ribosomal RNA is filed under the name uncultured bacterium. RNAcentral's name for it is "partial 16S ribosomal RNA". It matches the Rfam family "Bacterial small subunit ribosomal RNA", at positions 28 to 507 of the family's 1533-position model. The record is from RNAcentral.
GACGAACGCUGGCGGCGUGCCUAAUACAUGCAAGUAGAACGCUGAAGGAGGAGCUUGCUUCUCUGGAUGAGUUGCGAACGGGUGAGUAACGCGUAGGUAACCUGCCUGGUAGCGGGGGAUAACUAUUGGAGACGAUAGCUAAUACCGCAUAAUAUUGACUAUUGCAUGAUAGUCAGUUGAAAGGUGCAACUGCACCACUACCAGAUGGACCUGCGUUGUAUUAGCUAGUUGGUGGGGUAACGGCUCACCAAGGCGACGAUACAUAGCCGACCUGAGAGGGUGAUCGGCCACACUGGGACUGAGACACGGCCCAGACUCCUACGGGAGGCAGCAGUAGGGAAUCUUCGGCAAUGGACGGAAGUCUGACCGAGCAACGCCGCGUGAGUGAAGAAGGUUUUCGGAUCGUAAAGCUCUGUUGUAAGAGAAGAACGAGUGUGAGAGUGGAAAGCUCACACUGUGACGGUAUCUUACCAGAAAGGGACGGCUAACUACGUG